This 20-nucleotide non-coding RNA is filed under the name Arabidopsis thaliana (thale cress). Lineage: Eukaryota; Viridiplantae; Streptophyta; Magnoliopsida; Brassicales; Brassicaceae. The record is from RNAcentral.
GCCGAAGCCCAUACAUCUUU